Molecule: long non-coding RNA, 282 nt
Organism: Engraulis encrasicolus (European anchovy)
Lineage: Eukaryota; Metazoa; Chordata; Actinopteri; Clupeiformes; Engraulidae
Exons: 3
Source: RefSeq, a predicted model, not a curated record
AGACACUGCUGUUGAUUGUACGACCCCAAUGCCUUUUGAUAAUGGGAAUGUAGAUGAAGGCUACUCAGGUACAGUAGAGCAUAUUGAAACACCGCUGCUACAAGUAAGUUUAUCCCUUGAGUCUCCAUCAUGCCCGGUCUGUCUCUCCUUCCUGGAACUCAGCCACAGAGUUGGGGAUUCAUUUGCAACAGUGAGCACAAGGAAACCCCUGGAUGCAGAUGCACUGACUGAACAUGAUCGCCAUUUUAUCUACUAUAUCGUAUGCAGUACCUAUGGGGUAAG